AUAUAUCGUUCCACAGCUAUGCGAUUCUGUAACAAACACAUCAUCGAUGCUAACAACGACGAGUUCACAGAUGUCGCAUCGUAGACAUCGCUUUUAAAAACAACGUUGAUGAAAACCGUAUUCGCUUAGCUCAAAAGCUCGUCGACGAUCUGCCGAACAACGAUGACGGGUAGGAUGUUUACAGUGUUGCCAAAUUUCUUCUAAAGCAAUUUAAAGUAUAAUCGAGAAAAUCUCGACUAACGUUUUUUGGCGUUAUUUCGACAUUUUAAAUCAAUGUAAAUGCAUAAUAUGUAUGUAUAAAACACAUUCUAUUCGAUAAGCAACGAAUAUUUAAUUAAUCAUAUCAUUUUCGACAUAGAAAAUAAUGACUCAAAUCUUUGACAUUUGUUAUAAUCUAGGUUAUGUAGUAUAAUAUAUAGUCUGUGUCAUUUCAAAACUUUUCAAAAUCAAAACAAACAUUUUGCUCUUAACUGGAUUAUAUCUUUAUUUAUCUAUUUAUCUAAAUACGAGAUUUCAAAGCUCCAAAUGGCUUUAAGCGGUCAAGAGGACUUUAAAAAAAGUUGUACCCCUGACCAACGGCAUUCUACUUGUCCUGUGUUUUAGUUUGGUUCCAAAACUAUCGAAAUGUCUCGCAACGCACUGCCUUCGUUGAGUCAGCUGGAAGAGCUAGUAAGCUUUUUGGAAAGCAAACCAUGUUUGAUUAUGAUGGGCCAUGAUCGUACUGCAAUGCGAGCAGUCAUCAGGCACGAUCCGAAAACAAGUGACGUAGUGGGUGUAUGAAAAUAUUGGAGCAGUGGUGUAAGCACUAGAAGGACAAAAGGGAGCAGUUCAGAGGAAGUCCAGUUCUAUAGCAGCUGCGAGGCAACAUGAAGAAUUUGUCAGAACUCGGUGUAAUUGAGUUAACAAUACAUUCCAUUAUGCGAGGAGAAUGUUUUGGAAUCUGAAUUUAGAUAAAUAAAUCCAUGUUCAUUAUAAAAUACAAAAUAAUAAAAAGACAUGUUGAAUUAA
Long non-coding RNA from Helicoverpa armigera (cotton bollworm), 1008 nucleotides. RefSeq lists it as uncharacterized. The record is from RefSeq and is a predicted model, not a curated record. Lineage: Eukaryota; Metazoa; Arthropoda; Insecta; Lepidoptera; Noctuidae. The transcript is spliced from 3 exons.